ACUUUUAUCUUAGGUUUAAAGCUCUUUAUACUUCCUUUUAAUUUGAAUUAUUUUGUCCUAUUUUUCUUUGAAAGGCAGAUGAGUUCCAGCACAGUUUGCCAGAUGUUUACAACAAAUUCAUCCACUCUGCAAAACAUUUGUCGUAUCAAGCUCUAGCAGAACUGCAUCAGACAUCAAACAAAAUUUGUCCUUUUGGAAAGAAGUAUGUGCAAGAUGCCCUACCUUAUUUUCGAAGUGUGGCUGCAGUCACAUUGAUGAAAGAUGUUUUGAUAAAUCAAAACGUCUCUGAUGUUGUCUUCAAUGAAUGGCUCUUUGCCCUCUCUAUUUUUCCAAGGCCAAAUGAUGAAAUUGUGUCAGUAGCUGUUCCGCUAAUGCAACAUUAUCCAGAAAACGAGGCUGUUCUAUUGAGUUUAACAUCCAUGAUUCACUCUUUCUGCAAGUGGAAUUUGUGUGAAAAUGAGCACAAUGUGAGCAUCAUUACGUCGCACCUACAAAACAUGGUUAAUUCAAGCAUUUUACAAGAAUCCUAUAGUACAGGGGUAAGUGAACAGUUCUUCAAUAAUUUUAAAGAAUUUUCUUUUAAACAAUUAAUCUUAUGGAGCCAUAACUUCUUAUUCGUAUGGAGCCAUGGUGAAAAGAC
This 640-nucleotide long non-coding RNA is filed under the name Bemisia tabaci. RNAcentral describes it as "lncRNA ENSSSA1NGG013711". Lineage: Eukaryota; Metazoa; Arthropoda; Insecta; Hemiptera; Aleyrodidae. The record is from RNAcentral.